CCUACGGGAGGCAGCAGUGGGGAAUAUUGGGCAAUGGGCGCAAGCCUGACCCAGCAACGCCGCGUGAAGGAAGAAGGCUUUCGGGUUGUAAACUUCUUUUGUCAGGGAAGAGUAGCAGACUGUACCUGACGCCUAAUCCACGGCUAACUACGUGCCAGCAGCCGCGGUAAUACGUAGGUGGCAAGCGUUGUCCGGAUUUACUGGGUGUAAAGGGCGUGUAGCCGGGUUGACAAGUCAGAUGUGAAAUCCUGCGGCUUAACCGCAGAACUGCAUUUGAAACUGUUGAUCUUGAGUACUGGAGAGGCAGACGGAAUUCCUAGUGUAGCGGUGAAAUGCGUAGAUAUUAGGAGGAACACCAGUGGCGAAGGCGGUCUGCUGGACAGCAACUGACGGUGAGGCGCGAAAGCGUGGGGAGCAAACAGGAUUAGAUACCCUUGUAGUC
This 442-nucleotide ribosomal RNA is filed under the name uncultured bacterium. RNAcentral's name for it is "partial 16S ribosomal RNA". It matches the Rfam family "Bacterial small subunit ribosomal RNA", at positions 338 to 795 of the family's 1533-position model. The record is from RNAcentral.